UACGGAGGGUGCAAGCGUUAUCCGGAUUCACUGGGUUUAAAGGGUGCGUAGGUGGGUAGGUAAGUCCGUGGUGAAAUCCUGCAGCUUAACUGCAGAACUGCCGUGGAUACUAUCUGUCUUGAAUAUCGUGGAGGUUAGCGGAAUAUGUCAUGUAGCGGUGAAAUGCUUAGAUAUGACAUAGAACACCAAUUGCGAAGGCAGCUGGCUACACGAAUAUUGACACUGAUGCACGAAAGCGUGGGGAUCAAACAGG
Molecule: ribosomal RNA, 253 nt
Filed under: uncultured bacterium
Lineage: Bacteria
Description: partial 16S ribosomal RNA
Rfam family: Bacterial small subunit ribosomal RNA
Source: RNAcentral